RNAcentral lists this ribosomal RNA (116 nucleotides) under Escherichia coli. Lineage: Bacteria; Pseudomonadati; Pseudomonadota; Gammaproteobacteria; Enterobacterales; Enterobacteriaceae. The record is from RNAcentral.
CCUGGCGACCUUAGCGCGGUGGUCCCACCUGACCCCAUGCCGAACUCAGAAGUGAAACGCCGUAGCGCCGAUGGUAGUGUGGGGUCUCCCCAUGCGAGAGUAGGGAACUGCCAGGC